RNAcentral lists this ribosomal RNA (444 nucleotides) under uncultured bacterium. RNAcentral describes it as "bacterial SSU rRNA". It matches the Rfam family "Bacterial small subunit ribosomal RNA", at positions 331 to 792 of the family's 1533-position model. The record is from RNAcentral.
CCAGACUCCUACGGGAGGCAGCAGUGGGGGAUAUUGCACAAUGGGGGAAACCCUGAUGCAGCGACGCCGCGUGAGUGAAGAGGUAUUUCGGUAUGUAAAGCUCUAUCAGCAGGGAAGAAAAUGACAGUACCUGACCAAGAAGCCCCGGCUAACUACGUGCCAGCAGCCGCGGUAAUACGUAGGGGGCAAGCGUUAUCCGGAUUUACUGGGUGUAAAGGGAGCGUAGACGGUUAUGUAAGUCUGGAGUGAAAGCCCGGGGCCCAACCCCGGGACUGCUUUGGGAACUGUACGGCUGGAGUGCAGGAGAGGUAAGUGGAAUUCCUAGUGUAGCGGUGAAAUGCGUAGAUAUUAGGAGGAACACCAGUGGCGAAGGCGGCUUACUGGACUGUAACUGACGUUGAGGCUCGAAAGCGUCGGGAGCAAACAGGAUUAGAUACCCUCGUA